RNAcentral lists this ribosomal RNA (468 nucleotides) under uncultured bacterium. RNAcentral's name for it is "partial 16S ribosomal RNA". It matches the Rfam family "Bacterial small subunit ribosomal RNA", at positions 28 to 507 of the family's 1533-position model. The record is from RNAcentral.
GACGAACGCUGGCGGCGUGCUUAACACAUGCAAGUCGAACGGAAAGGCCCUGCUUUUGUGGGGUGCUCGAGUGGCGAACGGGUGAGUAACACGUGAGUAACCUGCCCUUGACUUUGGGAUAACUUCAGGAAACUGGGGCUAAUACCGGAUAGGAGCUCCUGCUGCAUGGUGGGGGUUGGAAAGUUUCGGCGGUUGGGGAUGGACUCGCGGCUUAUCAGCUUGUUGGUGGGGUAGUGGCUUACCAAGGCUUUGACGGGUAGCCGGCCUGAGAGGGUGACCGGCCACAUUGGGACUGAGAUACGGCCCAGACUCCUACGGGAGGCAGCAGUGGGGAAUAUUGCACAAUGGGCGGAAGCCUGAUGCAGCAACGCCGCGUGCGGGAUGACGGCCUUCGGGUUGUAAACCGCUUCCGCCUGUGACGAAGCGUGAGUGGCGGUAAUGGGUAAAGAAGCACCGGCUAACUACGUG